UUUUUACCACGCAGUAUUUAAUACAGUAUUACAUGCAAAUGUGAAAUAUGUUUUCUUAAUUUGUGAGUUCAACAAUGCUUCCCCUUUUUUGUUGAACCAUAACACAUUUUUAACAGCAUAUGCACAAUUACUCUUUAAACAAACUAUAAGGCACACUAAGCUGUGUAGCUCUUUUUCAGAAGCGACAUGGCCUCAAAUGAUGGUUCAACGAAGUGGCUCUUAAGCGGCCAAACGCAUGUUUAUAAACGUGGAAGGAAAAAAUCGGAGGCCUCGGAGAAAAAUCCACGCGACCACGGAAAGAACAUGCAAACUCCUAACAUACAGGCGUCAGGGGACGCAAUGGAACCCACGAUCUCCUGUAUACCAGGCGAGGGGUGGUCUGAGGUAAAUGUUGACACGGAGGCUUCAUUGACACGUUGGUCAUGUUCGUGAUCUCUUUGUGUCGAGCGAAAGAAAUUACUCUCCCGGUGCUCAAGCGGAAGAAGGCUUUCACGAGAAAGACAGAGCAAAUUAUAUCAGCCGGACUACAUCAGAGAAGAGCAGCAGCAGCUGGCAAGGCUACAUAUUCUCGGCAGAGAGUGGGCUGUUUGGUUCACUUCCUGAAGAAGCUCUCAGGAACGUGGAGCGAAACGUCGCGACGCCGUGCCGAAAA
Long non-coding RNA from Lethenteron reissneri (Far Eastern brook lamprey), 652 nucleotides. RefSeq lists it as uncharacterized. NCBI's taxonomy places the organism in Eukaryota, Metazoa, Chordata, Hyperoartia, Petromyzontiformes, Petromyzontidae. The record is from RefSeq and is a predicted model, not a curated record.